UACGAAGGGGGCUAGCGUUGCUCGGAAUCACUGGGCGUAAAGCGCACGUAGGCGGCUUCUUAAGUCAGGGGUGAAAUCCUGGAGCUCAACUCCAGAACUGCCUUUGAUACUGAGAAGCUUGAGUUCGGGAGAGGUGAGUGGAACUGCGGGUGUAGAGGUGAAAUUCGUAGAUAUUCGCAAGAACACCAGUGGCGAAGGCGGCUCACUGGCCCGAUACUGACGCUGAGGUGCGAAAGCGUGGGGAGCAAACAGG
This 253-nucleotide ribosomal RNA is filed under the name uncultured bacterium. RNAcentral describes it as "partial 16S ribosomal RNA". It matches the Rfam family "Bacterial small subunit ribosomal RNA", at positions 524 to 776 of the family's 1533-position model. The record is from RNAcentral.